AGUGAGGUCCUGCCCUUCAGAUGCUGAGCUGGGCCCUGGGUGGGUGGAAUUUUGCAGCUACUCUGAAAUCAGCUCUGUGGUCAAGGUGGAAAACUCAGUGACCCUGUGGCAGGCCCCAUUGCUUGGGACGCAGACAGCCUGGUGCUGGGUCUGCAAGCCCAGUUGCAUGGAGA
Molecule: long non-coding RNA, 173 nt
Filed under: Ictidomys tridecemlineatus (thirteen-lined ground squirrel)
Lineage: Eukaryota; Metazoa; Chordata; Mammalia; Rodentia; Sciuridae
Description: lncRNA (ENSSTOG00000034491.1)
Source: RNAcentral